This is a long non-coding RNA of Protopterus annectens (West African lungfish), 482 nucleotides long. RefSeq lists it as uncharacterized. Lineage: Eukaryota; Metazoa; Chordata; Ceratodontiformes; Protopteridae. The record is from RefSeq and is a predicted model, not a curated record. The transcript has 3 exons.
UUCACAAGAUGGAAUAUGAACUAAAUGCGGAAGUGUUUAAUGGAUUUUGAUCUCAGAACUAAUGUUUUUUUUUUCAGUCCACGGUUCAGUGAUUGAAUCAUAAGAUUUGUCAGCCCUCCAACAACUUGGUUCUGCUGUGAUGUGGGAUCUGGAGAUGCCCCAGCUGAUGUGUCUGGUGUUGGGUAUUCAUCCUGCUGAAAAUUACCUGUAGAAUGUAUGAACCUAAAAGAAUGCAUAGUUUUUCAGCUCUCAACACCAUAUAUAGGAUCCAUCCAACAGAGGAACAGAGUUUUGGCAAAUAAGUUCUGCUGUGAUGUGGGAUCUGGAGAUGCCCCAGCUGAUGUGUCUGGUGUUGGGUAUUCAUCCUGCUGAAAAUUACCUGUAGAAUGUAUGAACCUAAAAGAAUGCAUAGUUUUUCAGCUCUCAACACCAUAUAUAGGCUCCAUCCAACAGAGGAACAGAGUUUUGGCAAAUAAGUGAGC